GACGAACGCUGGCGGCGUGCUUAACACAUGCAAGUCGAACGGAAAGGCCCUGCUUUUGUGGGGUGCUCGAGUGGCGAACGGGUGAGUAACACGUGAGUAACCUGCCCUUGACUUUGGGAUAACUUCAGGAAACUGGGGCUAAUACCGGAUAGGAGCUCCUGCUGCAUGGUGGGGGAUGGAAAGUUUCGGCGGUUGGGGAUGGACUCGCGGCUUAUCAGCUUGUUGGUGGGGUAGUGGCUUACCAAGGCUUUGACGGGUAGCCGGCCUGGGAGGGUGACCGGCCACAUUGGGACUGAGAUACGGCCCAGACUCCUACGGGAGGCAGCAGUGGGGAAUAUUGCACAAUGGGCGGAAGCCUGAUGCAGCAACGCCGCGUGCGGGAUGAAGGCCUUCGGGUUGUAAACUGCUUUCGCCUGUGACGAAGCGUGAGUGACGGUAAUGGGUAAAGAAGCACCGGCUAACUACGUG
This 468-nucleotide ribosomal RNA is filed under the name uncultured bacterium. Its description in RNAcentral is "partial 16S ribosomal RNA". It matches the Rfam family "Bacterial small subunit ribosomal RNA", at positions 28 to 507 of the family's 1533-position model. The record is from RNAcentral.